ACUGCAUGAAUAAAGAACAGGGAUUGAUCUCAAAAACAUUUCUGGAAGAUGCAGUUUAUUUCAGAGCUGGUCUUGAAGCACAUUUUCAGAUGUGAUUUGAAAAAGAGGUUGUGAGCACAGACUUCAGGAACAGUGCGCUGGUGAUACUGUGUUGUGGAGAAAUGUCACAGUUCCUGUGAAAUUAAGUGCUUUUUCCUAGCAUGCACAUCUAGAUUUCUGUAUUCAGUUUGAGCACCACUGAAGGGUAGACUCCUCCCUUUGGUGUAGGAAAGGCAUCUUCCACAGAAUCCAUCAGGUAGAAGCCCAGGCUAAUACUUGCCCCCCCAAAUAUGAGGAAACUUCUCUGAGUCCCAACCACACUCUUCUGUUUCUCACAGGCAAAGGAACAUCCAAUUAGCAGAAUAACCUCUUACCAGUUCCAGUGUUUCAUACAAAUAAUACUGUCCUGACAUGCCUGGAGUCAGUUGUCUUUUGUUACCUUCUUCCCCUCUCCAACCUCUCUUUCAUCCCCUCCACUAGUCCAUGUCCUCCACUUUCACAUAACUCUCUGAAAUGCAUUUAAGGUGCAAACCUUGCCCCCCAGUGUACUUGGAAAAAAAUGCCUAUUAGGUAUUUGAAAUAGUGUUUGACACAGAGCUCAUCACUGAGGUCAGUUAUUACUUGCUCGUUUCUUUCUAACAAUGUACAGGGAUGGUUAUGUAGGUCUCUGGCAGACAUCCUUCAGCAUAGGCUACAGGGAAGCUGACUGAUGGAAGUGAAGAGAAUGAGUCACCUGAGAAAGGCUCUCCCUGGCUCUGGACUGCCUUUAGAGCACAGUCAUAAGCUGAAGGUGUAUGGAGCUCUUCACUUCUAAAAAUGAGGAUAUUUCUCUACAGCAAACUUCUGGCACCUCAGUCAUGGCACAGCAGACUCAUAAGGACUGUGCUGUGCUCAUGCUUCCCAAAGACAGACAGUAUAUCUGCCAUUUGUUGAAAGGGCUGCAGGAGGAGUGCAGAAAGGCCAAAUCCAAAAGGUUCGGUUGGCAGAGAAGUUUCUUCUGGAAAUUGAUGAGGCAAACUAAUUUCUUAGUUGUUAUUCAAAACAAGGCUUGAGAAGGGAUUACCUCUUCCACAGAUUCAUGGUCUUUAGUGAAAUUUAUGAGAACGCCAUGUCAGACACCAAAGAGCUGUUGAAGUUGUCAAAUUUCAGGUAAGUACAAAUUGUACUAGCGCAUGCAUUGAAUGCCAUUUUACCUCUGGCAGAUGUGUGAGUCACUACUACACCCUCCUACUUCAUUCCAAACUGACUGGAAAAAUCUGUCUUUCAAUAGGAAACCUGGGGAGAGAGGGAGAUGGAAUGGUUCUACGGAGAAAAUUGUUGUGUAGGAGAACUCAAGUUACUGAUGGUCAACAGCGCACAUCAGACCCCAACAUUCAUUCCAGUUGCUAAGAGUUUUGUGAGAAUAAGAAAGGCUCAGCAGUUGUAUGAUUUAACAUCAGGAUGACACAUUUUACGAAGGUGCUGAAGGAAAGACAAUCUCGACAGACUGAAGUUUGCCAUGAAAUGAAAUGAGGCAGCAAUCUAUAAAGGUAUGCAAAAUGAAACUGAAUCACUGAUUCUGGAUCAGAUGAACUGAAUGUGGUCCUCAAAUUACUAUCAUGAAACUUAAAUCAACAAACAAAGAUGAUAAAUUCAGGUCCUCCCUGCAAGACUUUUGUGGUGAGGCAUUCAUUUGCUCCUGCUGCUUAUUCUUUCACCUGAAACCAUUAUGAGUCAGGAGCCUGGCAGAACAUUUGAAGGGAAAGGUAACUAUUUGAGUAGUAUUUUCCACAGCUAACACAUAUGAGCACCCAGACAAUAAGAGGUCUACCUCAAAACAUAACAGACAAGAAAAUCUAUCAGGAAGGUAGUGACUGUCCUCCCACAGGAGCACGACAACACAUGGCACACAGAAUACAUCACUGCCUACUGUAGAUUUUAUCAGUGCUAGCUUUGCUCCACAGAAGGACAACACAAGGUGAGUAAUACAGUUUUCUUUACAGGAUAAAUUCUGCAAUGUAAAAGCCAGGAGCAGUCCACAAAACCUCACACUACAAAACCAUUUCUAUGUGCCCUUAUUGUAUUUCAUGAAAAAAUGUGGGAUGAACAAUAAUGACAUGAACAGAUUUUACUUAUAUUAAAUAAACCAGUGCAUCUGAGAGUGACCUUGAUCUCAUAUAUAAUCCUGAAAUAGAAUAUAGUAAAUAAAUUAUGUUAUAGGAAGCUUAACAGCUUCUUUGUGAAGUUUCCAUUGGGAAGCAGCUGUUCAGUUGAUUGGUCACCUUAAAGAAAACCCUAAAUGAAAGAAUUAUACAUUAACAUUCUCAAGCAGUAGUUGUCUGUAACUGGAAAUGCCAAUAUAUGAUUAACUUCCCUGAGGUCAAGGGCAAGGUAAUUUAAAACAACAUAAAAUGUAUAUUUUUGAACUCAUAUGAAAAAAUGUAGCAAGAAGAAAGGUUACAGUCAGUAUUAAUACAGCAGAACUUUUGGUAAAUGCAACAUAAUAUGAAAAAUUAUCACCAUAUAAAAUAAGUCACUAACUCUCAGGAUAAAAAAAUGAUUUUACAAUUUCAUCUCACUUCCCAUCUGCAGGCAUCCACAAUUCCUUCAUGUGCAACAUGUUCCUGCUGUCUCUGCUUCUGCACCAUAUUUAUUGUGCACUGACUUUUUUCAAAAAUUUGAAGUAAGGGAUAAUGAGGCUGCAUUUUCAAAACACUGCAACCACUAGUUCGGUUUUGCAGAUGACACACCCAUGCAUGUAAUCAGCACAUGCAGUCACAAUUGCAUUCCAAAACUCAAUUGCUUCUCACUGUAAAAAUUUAUUGUGCCCAUAAAAAGCUAAAAAGCCCCACCAACAUCCCCCAGGCACAACCCUUGACUACCAAAAAUACAAAUAUAUAGUCCUGGAGCAACUGAUUAGCCACAUAAGAAUUUUGAGAAUCAGCAACAUAACUCAGGCAUCAUUUCAGCCACAUAUGCAGCUCUGCACAGAUUUGAGACUGGUUAGAAUAUGAGUGUUCCAUUCUGACUCUGUUCCAUUCGAACACAUUCUGUCUGAGGAAAAAUUAACUGUUCAGUGCCUCUGCAUAUGUAGCAUCUGCUCCUUAAAAACCUAGUUUAUUAUAUUUGGAAAAAAAAAAAAACCAACCAAAAAACCAAACCCAGGAUGAGAAAAUCUUUCUAUUUUGUAUCCAGUUAUAUUACAAUAUUGAAAAUGUAUUUUAAUCUUUCUAUCAAAAAAGCAUUAUGCAAGUGUGAUGCUCAAUUUUCUCAUCCAAUCAGAAGAAUCAUGGGGUAAAUAAAAAGCAAGAAAAGAGGAAAAUGACCCCGCAGCACACAAUAUAGAGAGCACGAAAACACUCCCCUCCCUUCCACAACAGCAAGUGCAAAAUACAGCAGAUUUCAACACUCACGGCUAUCGUAGCAUAUAUUGCCCAGGGCACGUCCCGUUUGAAGCAAUACUUCCUGGUCUUUGCAGUUUAACAGCUGCACCAAGGGAGGGAUCAACCCAGCAUCCACACAGGGGUUCCGCAUGAAUUCUGCAAAGAAAGCAAAGCCUCUUAACGCCAGGCCAGCUAUUCCCAAUUCAUCAAUUCCAGUUACACUGGCCUGGCAACUGGGCCUUUUGUGUGCCCUAAACACGUGCACAGACAGUGUAAAUUCUCACGCAAGUUUCUAGAUAAUAAACCCAAGUCAGGAUUUGGGCUUAAUUAUUUCCAUUAUUUACUAAUUUAGAAGAAAUUAAGGGCAUUUAAUUGACUUCCAUGGAAACGAAUUUAAUAUAGAUCAGACUAAGCAUAUUUUUAGCAUCACAAAGAAGUGCUGCUAAGAACAGUGAAUUCACAACAAAUUCAAUAUAAACUUGAAUUUCUAAAUAACACAAAAGAUGACUUAAAACUAGUAUUCUAGGGCAGCAUUUUUUACUCUCUAUUGCCUUAAUUAGAAUUACAGAAAAGCUUUUGCUUUAACAGAAUAAAAAAAAAGCAGGGGAAAAGAAAAAAGCUCAGUAACAGGCUUUUAUUUGGAAGGUGAAGAAAAGAACAGAAAAAGAGAAUGAGAAAUACAAGAGUUUAUGUGAGCCCAAAGGCCUGUCGCUUUCCACAAUCUAACUGAUGCCCACCAUGGGAGGAAAGGUAGAGGACCCAUCCACUGGGAAGCUCUCUGCCCUUCCUUCCUGCUAUACUACAGAGAACCAGAGAAUUAUUUUACAUCUGUGCAAGUCAUAGAGAACUAUCCUGGUGUCAGAGAGAUAAAGAGCAGUUCUAGAGAAGGAGAUACAGCUAGGCAGGCACUGUGCUGCACAUUUUAAAAAGGUGGUUUAUAGAAGGAACCACCUGAUAACACCAGUGUUAUUUCACAGUUUACUACCGAGCACUCUUUAGAGAUGUAGUAUUGUUAGGCAAAUGGUCAAUAUGUUUUUGAUUAGUUCUGAACUGCAAAUUAUCACAGAAUCACAGAGUGGGUAAGAUUGAAAGGGACUGCAAUGGCUCAUCUGGUCCAACAUUCCUGCUUAAGCAGGGUCACCCUAGAGCACAGAGCAUAGGAAUGCAUCCAGAUGGUUCUUGAAUAUCUGUAGUGAAAUAGACUCCAGAACCUCUCUGGGCAAUCUGUUGCAGUGCUUGGUCACCCAUACAAUAAAGAACUUCCUCAUACAUUGGUAAGAUCCCCUCUCUGUCAUCCCUUCUCAAGGCUGAACAGACCCAGCUCUCUCAGCCUUUCCUUGUAACAGAUGCUCCAGUUCCCUCUCAUCCUUGUGGCCUCUGCUGGACCUGCUCCAGGAACUCAAUGUCUCUCUCGUACAGAAGAGCCCAAAACUGGACAGUAAUCAGGAUGCAGCCUCACCAGGGCUGAGCAGAGGGGCAAGUUAUGUCUCUUCCUGAUCCUAAAUAAUAUUGCAUCUUUCAGAGUCAGUUUACUUUUGUGUUACUUAAUCAUUUAUGAGACAGAAUGAACCAGGGUGUACAAUCCCCCUAAAAACAGAUGAGAAAAUUUUUCUGAUUCUGGAUCAACAGAUUUCCUCAUGCUAAUACCUCAAAGAUGUCAUACAAUGCUUGAAGUACAAAUACAUCUUCUCAAAUACUCAGUUUGUUGGAUCUAUUACUACAUUCUUUGAUGUUUUGGUAGCUACAAAAUCUAACCUCUUUUGUAUUUGUAUUUAGUCCUGCAGUGUUAUUUUACCUAAAGAAUUGUCAGAGGUAAGCAAUUAUCAUGUGAUGAUAUAACUCUGAUACAUCAACACACAGAUUAAGAAGAAUUAGCAAUAUCUCUACACUUGCAAGGUCCAAGAAAAGAUAGAUGUGAGCACAAUUAACCCACCUUCCCAAGGUACUGUAACAUUUUAGAACUGUGGCUAGAUGCUAUAGUGUGACAGAUGGUGAUAAUAUCCAUUGUAAUGAACAUAACAAAUAUCAGAUACAUCUGGUCUUUAAAACUGGUCUUGCCAUGUCCUUGUAACAUUCAGUAUAUUUCCUUAUCACCCACUUUCACCUUCAUUGCAAUGUUUAUUUAUUACAUGUAAUUAGUUUCUUCCUCUGUCUUCUCUGUCCCCUCAGCCUCUUCCUCUCAAUUGCCUGUAAAAACUCUUCCCUGUUCUUCAGCUAUCCCCACAUAAUUUUCUUUUACACCCACUAACUUACCAUAAUCUUUACAUCAUCAGUCAGGUGGAUUUUUUUCUCCUAGUCUGUAUCAGGAAAUGAAACUUGUUCUCUCCUAAAUGACUGAGAGGUCUCAGUCUGUUCUGCUGUUUGUUUAGGUUCUUCCUCACGUGGUGAAAAGGAGUAAGAAACCCUUCCUCCACCCUCCCUCCAUUUGGAGCGAGUGGGAGCUUUUUCAGCAACAAAAUAACUGGUCAAUCACUGAGCAAACUUGUAUUUAUCAAGAUCAUGUAAGAGCAAGAAGUAAAAUAAAUUGUGCCAUAUGUAUCAAAAUAAUCUGUGAAACAAGAACAAAGAUGGUAACUGCAACUACUUUUGCAGCAGAUACUAUACAGAAGUAAUAGAAGGAUGAGAAAGUAGUUGAGAACAGAGUCUUUAAAAGGUUUCCACUAAACUGGGAGAGAAAUGAAGCAGAUCCUUAGAAGAAAACAGCAAAGAAUCAUUUGAGAAGUUAGGAGAACAACCACUGAGGGCACAGUAACAUAAACCAAAAGGACAAGAUUUUGAAAGUGAAAUGUAAUUGUGUUUUAAUAUUACAGACUGUGAAGAUGAUGUUCUCUCAUUCCUGCACCUGGCAAAGAAGACAAAACUAAAAACCUUGGAAGAGGGUUUAAAAGGUCCACAGUGGAGAGAGAAACUCCAUGUAACAAGUCCAUCUUAGCCUUCAUGAUGCUCACAGUUGAAAGGCAAAUGGUUGUAGUUGGAGAGACAUGAGUGACUAAAGGGAGUUUUCUAUGUUUGGGUGUUUAAAAGCUGGGAGGAGGAAGAGUCAUGUGAGCAGAGUGAAACAGCAAGAGCAUGAAGAGGUGAAAAGAUGAAACACAACAAAGCCACCAAGGGAAGGAAAGUCCAAAACAGAAUCUGUGCCUCUUCAGCUGUGACAGCAGCAAGUCCAGGAGUGAGAAAUUCAGCCACAAAUGUCCUCUACCCUCAUCACAGGGUCUGCCCAUAGUGUCUGCUUGCAGG
Long non-coding RNA from Passer domesticus (house sparrow), 6638 nucleotides. RefSeq lists it as uncharacterized. Lineage: Eukaryota; Metazoa; Chordata; Aves; Passeriformes; Passeridae. The record is from RefSeq and is a predicted model, not a curated record. The transcript is spliced from 10 exons.